Molecule: ribosomal RNA, 604 nt
Filed under: uncultured bacterium
Lineage: Bacteria
Description: bacterial SSU rRNA
Rfam family: Bacterial small subunit ribosomal RNA
Source: RNAcentral
AGAGUUUGAUCCUGGCUCAGGAUGAACGCUAGCGGCAGGCCUAAUACAUGCAAGACGAACGGUAAUUUGAGUAGCAAUACUUGAGCAAGAGUGUCGUAAGGGUGCGUAACACGUAUGCAAUCUGCCCUCAACAGGAGAAUAGCUCCCCGAAAGGGGAAUUAACACUCCGUAAUAAUAAGAUGUGGCAUCACACUUUAUUUAAAACUACGGUGGUUGAGGAUGAGCAUGCGCAUGAUUAGUUAGUUGGCGGGGUAACGGCCCACCAAGACGAUGAUCAUUAGGGGAACUGAGAGGUUGAUCCCCCACACUGGCACUGAGAUACGGGCCAGACUCCUACGGGAGGCAGCAGUAGGGAAUAUUGGACAAUGGGUGCGAGCCUGAUCCAGCCAUGCCGCGUGCAGGAAGACGGCCUUCUGGGUUGUAAACUGCUUUUGCCAGGGGAUAAAAAGUCCCUGCGGGGAAAAUUGAAGGUACCUGGUGAAUAAGCCACGGCUAACUACGUGCCAGCAGCCGCGGUAAUACGUAGGUGGCAAGCGUUGUCCGGAUUUAUUGGGUUUAAAGGGUGCGUAGGUUGUUUUGUAAGUCAGUGGUGAAAUCCGGCAGC